Molecule: ribosomal RNA, 373 nt
Filed under: Chimena taiwanica
Lineage: Eukaryota; Metazoa; Arthropoda; Arachnida; Araneae; Mysmenidae
Description: Araneae gen. 1 sp. 2 SLL-2022a partial large subunit ribosomal RNA
Source: RNAcentral
AAAUAGCCGCAGAAUUUUAACUGUGCUAAGGUAGCAUAAUCAUUAGAUUUAUAAUUAAAAUUUGGAAUGAAAGGAAUAACCUUUAAUACCUUUAUUAAAAUAAAAAUUUUAAACUAUACUAAAAAUAAAAAUAUUUUUAUAAAAAAAAAAGACGACAAGACCCUUUUGAACUUUAACUUAAGUUAAGCUGGGGCAGCUCAUUAAAAACAACUUUAAUAAAAAUAAUUAAAUAAUAACCUAAUAUUAUUAAAAUAAACAAGUUACCACAGGGAUAACAGCGUAAUUUUUUAACAAAGUUCUUAUUUAAUAAAAAGAUUGCGACCUCGAUGUUGAAUUAUAAACCUUUUUAAAGCAAAAUUAAAGAAGGGGGUCU